GUGUUGGAUCACUACACUAUUCACCUGAAACUAAUAGUACACCGUAUGUUAACGAUAUGGGAUUCAAAAAUUUAAAACUAUACAGAAAUUAAAUUUCUAAAAAAUUAAAACUUUGAAAGCAAAAAAAAAAAAAAAAAACCCACAAAAGAACAAGGGUUUGGAGAUAUUUGUGAGUUUGAAUUCUGUUUCUUUCCCUCAUGGACGCUGUGGCCUAAGCCUCUGAACAUCGGUUUUCUCAUCUGCAAAAUGAACAGAAUAAAAUCUCGGGGCUGUUGUAAGGACGAGGUGCGUUGGGGAGAUAACACAUGUAAACGUGUGGAAAAAAAAACAUGUAAUCGUGGCCUGGAACAUGGGAAGCCCCAGAAUUGUUAACCAUUCUUCUGAGCCGUAUAUCCCCUGCUAAUCCUACUUCCACCUUUGGGUUUAUUCUGACAGACGUACUCACACUCACACACAGAGACACACAUAUCCCUUCUAGAACCCUUCCCUCCCUCUUCCAUUACCUGGACUGUAUCCAUCCUUCUGGGCCCAACUCAUUCUCCCCUCCUGCGGGAACCUUGGCCUGAAGACGGGUAUGCAGCAAUCCCCUGUCUUGGGCUCCUCCCGCUUGCCUGGCCUCGGUUGUCCUCUCAUGUUUCCAUCCACCCGGUGCCCCAGUGAGACUGCAAACUCUUGGGAGUGGGGCCUCAUCCUACCAUCUGCGUGGUUCCUCCCCCACCUCUCUACAGGGAUGGGGAGCUGACCGGGUCACGUGCUCGCCGUAGGAUGAACCUAGCAUAUACUCCUCCUGCCCCCUAGCAAGCCCCACUAAUUUUCAUUUUACUGUAACUUUUGCAACCUGACCUUGAUGACAUAUCAUAGGAGGGAAAAAACCCUCACAGACCUGCUCCUUUUUACAUCCCAAAUACUGGAAGGAACAUCAGCCAGUUGACUCACGGGGUCAUCAUCAACAUACUUGGUGAACACCGUCUCCCUGCAGAGCACUAGGUGCGGCCCCGGGAGGAGGGGCGCUAGAAGGAGCCCUGAACGCAAGAAUCCAGGGGAUCGGAAAUAAGCCCAGCAGACUUGAUUCAGCCAGCACAUUCCCAACCCUCUGCUCCCAGCAUCCCUACCCUCUCCUGUCACACGGGGGAAAAAGGAAAGCAGGCAUGGACAGAACGUGGCCAGGAGAAGGUGUUCUAGAAACUCCACCUUAGGAGGUGCUGAGGAUGCAGCGUGUGAACCCCUCAUCCUGUCAGCUCCUGGCCCUUGAAGCCCUGCCCUGAUGUCGGGGACCCGUUCUCCCCAUCCUGCAGCACAGGGACCAUCUGGCUGAAGACCCGGGGGUCUCUCCUGCGUGCCUCCCGUUCUCCACACGUCAGGCCCAGGCCUUGGUUCAGCAGCCUUGACCUCUGCUGUCUUCUCUGUGUACUAUCUUGCUCUGCUUAGAAAAUGCUUACCAGGUGAUAGCAAAGAGGAGUCACCAAUGGAAGAUUUUCAUCAUUUCGGGGUUCCGCUGGACCUCCCAUCCGCCGGCCCUGACCCGAGGGAAGUGGGGAGAUUCUGCUCCUCCCUGCCAGGGGUCUCCCUAAGCUGCUGCCACGGUUCUGCUGAUGUGGGCUUAGGUUUGCCCACACUCAGAGAAGUUCCUGAUUCUUCUGACCCACCCAACUGGGACCCCAAGGUUGCAAAGGGGCGUUCCUGAAUGAGGUUUUGGUCAAAGCACAAAGGUUUUCAGGUUCUUGUUCUCAGUCCUGUUCUCCAACUCAAAGGGACCAUGUCCUCUCUUCCCUCCUCUCUCCUCCUGGUCACUAACCUACAUCUUCUGGAAUGAUUGACUCCAGCCCUCUCCAGCAACUUUGGACUGGGGGACUCUUCCCCCUCUUCCUAAAAUAUUCAUGCAUGCACGCACCUACUACCCCCGUGCACACAUGUGUACGCACACGCCUGCCACACACACAUGCACAUGCAUGCAAGUGUCACACACCAAGUCCCCAUCCCCACCUGUGACACCUUCCUCCUUCCUAACUUUAUCCUCGGUGCAGACAACCCUGCCCAGUAUAAACUGGAAGGCUAAACAAAAAAAAAAAA
RNAcentral lists this long non-coding RNA (2070 nucleotides) under Canis lupus familiaris (dog). Its description in RNAcentral is "lncRNA (ENSCAFG00000051014.1)". Lineage: Eukaryota; Metazoa; Chordata; Mammalia; Carnivora; Canidae. The record is from RNAcentral.